This 305-nucleotide ribosomal RNA is filed under the name uncultured Chlamydomonadales. RNAcentral describes it as "partial large subunit ribosomal RNA". It matches the Rfam family "Eukaryotic large subunit ribosomal RNA", at positions 40 to 350 of the family's 3401-position model. The record is from RNAcentral. Lineage: Eukaryota; Viridiplantae; Chlorophyta; Chlorophyceae; Chlamydomonadales.
AUAUCAUUAAGCGGAGGAAAAGAAACUAACUAUGAUUCCCCUAGUAACGGCGAGUGAACCGGGAAUAGCCCAACUUGAAAAUCUCCCUUUGGAGAAUUGUAGUCUAUAGAAGCAUCCUCUGUGGCGGCACAGUCCCAAGUCCGGUGGAAGCCGGCGUCGAAGAGGGUGAAAACCCCGUCGGAUCUGUGCUUAGCCGCUCCACGAGGUGCUUUCCACGAGUCGGGUUGCUUGGGAAUGCAGCCCAAAUCGGGAGGUAAAUCCCUUCUAAGGCUGAAUACUGGCGAGAGACCGAUAGCGCACAAGUA